This 202-nucleotide non-coding RNA is filed under the name Oscillibacter sp. 1-3. Lineage: Bacteria; Bacillati; Bacillota; Clostridia; Eubacteriales; Oscillospiraceae. RNAcentral also lists the same sequence under 1 other name. The record is from RNAcentral.
AAAUAUCGCAAAGCAGUCGGAGCCGUUCUCCCCUUGGGGAACGGGUAAUAGGGAAACAGGUGCAAGGCCUGUACGAUCUCGUCACUGUAUGUAAUGAGCGCGCUGUCUCAGUCGAAACAGGACAGCCACUGGCGAAAGCCGGGAAGGCGAUGGCGCGCGAUGAUUUACGAGUCAGGAAACCUGCCGCCUGCUGGUACAGGAA